CUCACUCUCUACCUGGAGGCUCUGUCUACAGCCCAGAACUCUGACAGAAUAGAAUGCAGCUUCUCGAACCUAUGUGGAGAACGUUUCUUACAGAGUUGGAAUUCGGGGCCGGUCCACCUGAGCCUCCUCUGCCACUUGAAACUCACUUUUCCUCAGAAAAGAAUAGAGAUCAAGCUUCUCCAAACCUUGCUUAAAGUAUUUUUGUUGUAGUAUUGAAUACUUUCCCUUGAAGUAAUUUCACAAGAAAGUACAACUCUUAAAAUAUUGUCUUAUCUUCCUAGCCACCUUCAGUUUUAUAAAGAAUAUCAAUAGAAAAAUGAGUAGGGGAAAACAAAACACUUUUUAAAAUGGACUAUAUAUAGUCAAUAAAGUCCUUUAUAGCCUGUUUUCUGACAGCCAUCCUGGUAAAAUCAGAUUUAUUUCAUAAUUUUCUCCUUUUUCCUAAAAGGGAAGUACAAUGCUCAACAAAUAUGAUUGUGGUCACAGCGUACUGAGAUUUCUGUUUUGUUUUGAAAAAUAGAGGUAUUUGUAUCUAAGGAAAAUUUUCCCAAGAAAAGUCGUACUUGAUGUUGAAAGCCAUUUCUAAUAUGGAAACAAUAGUAUCUGAAUGUAUCUGCAUAUACAUAUACUUUAAAUUUGUAGUAUUUCAAGAACAUUUGAGUUAAAGUGCUUAUGUGAACUAGGACAAGGGUCAAAAAAUAUGGCUUCUAAGUCCAGGCAUCAGUGGCUCAUGCCUAUAAUCCUAGCUACUCCUGAGGCUAAGAUCUGAGAAUUUUGGUUCAAAGCCAGAUCAGGCAGACAAAUCAGAUGAACCCUUAUGUCCAGCAAAAACCAGCC
Long non-coding RNA from Perognathus longimembris pacificus (Pacific pocket mouse), 837 nucleotides. RefSeq lists it as uncharacterized. NCBI's taxonomy places the organism in Eukaryota, Metazoa, Chordata, Mammalia, Rodentia, Heteromyidae. The record is from RefSeq and is a predicted model, not a curated record. The transcript has 3 exons.